This is a non-coding RNA of Coturnix japonica (Japanese quail), 3882 nucleotides long. NCBI's taxonomy places the organism in Eukaryota, Metazoa, Chordata, Aves, Galliformes, Phasianidae. The record is from RefSeq and is a predicted model, not a curated record.
GAGGUGGUGGAGUCAGUAUCCCUGCAGGUAUUCAUGAGCCAUAUGGCACUGAGAGAUAUGGUUAGUGGGCAUGGUAUGGAUGGGUUGAUGAUGUGGUCACAUGGAUUUUCUCCCUACUCCAUACUGUCUGUGAAUUUUUGGGGCCAUAUCUCAAUUCACCAUUACUCAUGGUGAGGCAGCUCUUUUUCCAGGGGAAAUGGAGGUUUUGAUGGAUUUUUGGACACAUGACAGGCCAAUGCAGACUUUGAGGAACACAUUCCUCUACAUGUCCUGCUCUCAGCCUGACCUGAAAGGGAAGAUGGCCCCUGAUGGCCAAUGCAAAACUGACUGGAGCCAACAGAAGUGAAUCUUCACCAACCUAGUGAAGACAGCUUUAAGCCACUUGAAGCAGCAGGCUGUCUGAGGUUUUCUGAUGUCCACGAACAAACAAACAUGGACUGCAGCUAGAAACUUGCAUGCGGUAGGAGAAAGCCAUCCUUGCUCACUUUAAGGAACCUACAGAGGUGGCCAAGGAUACCUCAGUGAAAUACUCAGAAGGUGAGAGGUUUAUGUGGGCAAUGAAGGCAAAAAAAGGAUACGUUGAUGGUUAUAGUGAUAGAGUAGAUGAUCUUGGAGGUUUUUUCCAACCUUAACAAUUCUAUGAUUCUGUAAACUUUUGGGAAAAAGAACUGCUAAAAGUUUCUUUUAUAAAACAGGGAUUAUUUUCCUCUUGGCCAAUUCCAUUAUCUUUCACGUACUUUCAAAAUAUCCCCCCACCCCAAAAUCUUAAUUAUUAAAAGAAAAGAUGUUCUUUGUUAGUGCUAAUUCAAAAUAGUACCAGAUUAUUUAAAACAGUUUAAAAGUAGGUAAACUCCUUCAAGUAAUUCAAUGACUGUAGGAAAAUGGAUUACAUAGGUGGUGAUUUACGGUGUGGUUUUCACAAGAUGGAAAUAAACCAACCAAAAUACUGUAAAAAAUAAAUUUCUGGUCAAAUACAACCCUGUAAAAUAGUUUAUGUUUUAUUUAUUUUAUUUUAAAAGCUUGAGAUCUCUGGAAGAGAACUGAAUGCUGCAAUGAUUAACAGACCUAAGUAAUUGGACUGGCCUAAGAAAAGUUUCCUGCUCUUGCCUGCUCUCUUCAAAAGUACUUUCAGCCAAUAGAGCCUGUUUUCCUGCAUUUAUGGAUCAUUGCUCCUAUUUCAUAGGAGACAGUAGGGAAAUGAAAGUGUGCUGAGAUCAUGGGGCAGUAGAACUCAGCACAAAGACCAAUUUAUUUCUAUUUUUAAUAGCUAUGGGGAAUGUCACAACAUCUGUUCUUUGUGACUAUGGAUAGCAUUUGGUCAACCUGCCAGUUUGUGAUUAUUGCAUUGUACAGACAAGAAUGAGCAUCACACGAUUUCAGACAUAUGGAAGGUGCCUGUUGGGAUGAAUUUCAAUCUGAGUUAUAGGAUUGAGCCAAAAAUUCACAGUGAAUCAUUUAUAUGACAAAUUUGGGUUCCCUUCUGCCUGUGGGAUAUUCUGUCCAUCUUUCUGAUUCCUUAAAUAUGAUAUGGGAUUUCUUUCUUACAAAUAUAUGAGUAAUUCCCAAGAGUUCUUUGGGCACAAAUGAAAGGUCUGGGGCUCUCCUCCGGCUUUGCCUUUGUGAUUGAACAUUCUUGCACACCGGGGCAAAAUAAUUAUAAUAGAUGUCUAUGUGGUUGCUCUUUCAUGUCAUUGUCACCCUGCUGUGUUAUCACAGAAAAAGCUGACCUAGCCUGUGGUGUACAGUUUGUAAAGAAGGAAUCUAGGUAGCCCUUACAAUCUCAGAUCUCUUGGUGCCUUGUUUCCUCCUAGCUUUAAAAUGAAGACAACACCUGUCAUGCACGGAUCACAGGUCAUUUUCUAUGGAGAUAGGUGCUGCAGAAAUGCUUUAUGUCUUACUUAGGAUGGGCAAUGAUUGGAUUGAAAAUCACAUUGUAUUGGUAUUGUUUCUGCACUGCAUGACUAUACCCACAUCCAGCUCUGCUGGUCACAGCACUGCAACAGGAAAGGGAGGUUUGGGUUCUCCUCAAGUUCUGCUAGUGUGUUCAUCCUGAUUUCUUCAUUUCCACCCAGCAGGCUCGCAAAGCAACAGCUCCUUCUCCUGCGAGACUGGCAUGAUAUUUCUCAGUCAUUUCAGGUGUUAGUUCUGUAUUUAUUUUUCAUGUAUUGGAGUGACAUUAACUUUCCUAUUCUAUUUUAUGCCUUUGGCAGCACUGUCAUGCAGUUCCCACCUUGGCAUAGUUCUUGCCAGCAAGAACUUUUUAUUGGCAAUUUCAAGUAGCGAAGAACAUUUGUAUCUGGAGAGGAGGUUCCCUUCUGCACCUGACAAUUACCAUACUACAUGUAAAACCCAUUAAUUCACACUAUUCAGCAUCAUAUAUUCAACUCUCUACAGAUCUCAUUGCUUUUAUGUGCACCUCUGGGCCUUCCUUUUAGUGGGAGAGAUGGGAGGCAGAAUUGUACUGAAAUUAUGGUCAAACACAGUCAUGCUUCCUCUCCCCAGUUAGACAGAAUUCGGCCCAAAGCUUGAAAAUGGGAGAGGCUCAUAUUGCCAUCCCUUGGUGAUGCUGUAAAGUUGUUCCCUGAGGAGUUACUCCUGAUUUUGGAUGCAGCACUGUGCUCUGAUCUGAGCAUGGUGUGAAAGGGAUCAGCCCACCCUCUUAUGGAUUGCUUUUCCUUUCCUCUUCCUACGAUCCUCUGGUGUAAUAUUUCUAAGCCUCCAUCUACCAAAACACACCUUUCAAAGACAAGAACAAGUAAAGACUUCUAAAAAGCUAUAGCUAAACCUAGACAGGCACACAGUUUUCCUGGUGGCUCUGAAAGGGCAGUAAUUGGAAUCAACAGUGGGAUGGCAAGAUGGGGACUAGUGCUGGGGAUAGGCUGGGGUGAUGGUCUCUUAGACCAUGUCAGCUGCAGCCAGUACAGUGUGUCCAGUAGAGACAUUAUGUAGCAUGAGGUAGAGGACCCAGACUGGAGAUCACGGGGACCUUAAUUCCUCUUGUUAGCCCCAGACUUUGCCUGAUGGGUAGAUGCCCACUGCAGCUGACCUGCCCAUCCCAUCUCCAUUAGCGUUCUGGUGCUUGAUUGAUUCAGCACUGGUUUAUGCCUUUAUACAAUUAAUUUCAUUUUUCUUGGCAUCUGAAUGACUUUUUUCUCCCCAGACCUUCAUUUAAUGUUCAUCUUCCCACAGACAGAUUAAUAGUGUGCUCUAAUAACAGAUAAGUGGUGUAGUAAAUACCCUUGGGUCUUGUUACCAUUCCAGAACUUACUGUUAAGGAAUGUGGCCCCAAAUGUGCUGGCAAAUGAAAGUAAUUAGUCAUAGCCCAUUUCAGACAACUGCUCUAUGCUGUGCUCUCUUUGUGCACUUAGCAACACAUGUGGCCAGCACAAAUUACUGGUGAGGUCCUUUUUCAAGCAGAGAGUCUGACUGGAGCUGGUGGUCUCACCAUGCCAUUUCCUAAUACCUAGUGUUCUUAGUGUGCUUGGUGUACAAAUUUCUCUCAUUCUGGGGAAACAGGCUGGUGCUUUAACUCGUAAAUAAAAUGCUAUGGUGUGGUGUGAAAGCUGAGGAGAAACUGUGAUGUGUGCUGGAAGUUGCCUCCCUUCACUCUUACCUACUCUUUACAUAAUCUAGGGAACCUGUUUUAGCAGGGGGUUGGACUAGAUGAUCUCUAGAGUUUCCUUCCAGCCCCCACAGUUCUGUGAUUCCUAUAUUUUCUGUGAAAUCUGAGCUCUGCAAUGGGACAGUGAUGCUUCUUGGUUCCUUUGGAAGAUGGUGGCUACUUGCAUGGAAACUAAAUUAGAAUGUUGUUAUAAUUGAUUUCAUAAUCAAUUAAAGUAAAUUAUUUUUACGCUCUGCACUGCCAUCUUUUUUUUUUUUUUU